GGUUUAGCUCGGCUAUCUUUGGACUAAGACGUCGCCCUUACAAGGCGAAGAUCCCCAGUUCGAAUCUGGGCGAACCCA
RNAcentral lists this transfer RNA (78 nucleotides) under Nanohaloarchaea archaeon SW_7_43_1. RNAcentral describes it as "tRNA-Val". It matches the Rfam family "tRNA", at positions 9 to 71 of the family's 71-position model. From Rfam's summary of the family: Transfer RNA (tRNA) molecules are approximately 80 nucleotides in length. The record is from RNAcentral. Lineage: Archaea; Methanobacteriati; Methanobacteriota; Candidatus Nanohaloarchaea.